This is a non-coding RNA of Schizosaccharomyces pombe (fission yeast), 385 nucleotides long. Lineage: Eukaryota; Fungi; Ascomycota; Schizosaccharomycetes; Schizosaccharomycetales; Schizosaccharomycetaceae. The record is from the annotation of a GenBank genome assembly.
CGAUGAUCGGCAAGCUUUCUUGGACGGAUAAAAUGCCUUAAUGUAAAAACGGUACCUAACACAACACAAACAGCACUGACAACAAUGUAAGCUAUUCCAAGGAAUGGAUUCUUUCCUCCAAGCACCGAUCUCGUCGUAAGAACCAGAGAUUUGGUACCGUCAAAGCUCUUAACAGGAAAAAACAACCCAAUUUUUAUUUCGUAUGUUCCUGGAAAAAUAUCGUCGUUAUCGUUCCGCAUAGCCAACUUACUGAAAGUAGGCAGACCAGCUGUACGCAUCCAAACCUGUAAAUUUUCCAUAGUUGACAAAUCUGGCAUGUUUGAUUCAGUAUAACCAUCAGGAUAACGCAAAACCCAAUUGGGAGGAGGUGCAACAUCAUCAGGAC